UAGGCCUCCUCACCUCCCAUCUCUAUCCAGGCCCAGGCCUACCUCAUGGCUGCCCCUCCCCCGCCCAGCAGCAGCGGCUGGACGGGGGAGAGAUCCGAACUCCGUCCCUCGAAGUCCCAAGAGAGCCUCCCAGGGCCAAAGCUCUGCUUUUAACCCCUGGGUGUUCUCGGAGGUGUGUCCUAAAACCCACUGGCUACCCCAGGUGCCAAUAUCAAAAUCCAAGCACCCAUUGGUUUGACCACAACAUCCCAGAAUUCCCACUUCUUCCUGGUCAAACCACCACACCCUGUAUGGGCCCCCACCGACUAUUUUCUUAUCACAUCGGCGGUCACCAAAAUGUCGCAGUCGAGGUGGUCACGACAUUAAAGCAGAGACCACAAGCACACUCAGUCUUAGUCUCAGUUGUCAACCGUUAGCACCGUUUGCCACCAUUAGCAACCGUUGGCAACAGUUUGCAACACUUUAUUAGUGAAAAUGGCUGAUACACUUUCCAGUUUUUUCCCCUCCAGUCACAGAAGGCUCCCAUCUUUCCUCUCUUGAUCUCCUUGGUUCAACUUCUUCCUCUUACUUCUCACUCCUUUAGCCAACAGGCCCGCUGCUAGCCCCUUCCACACUGGUCCACUGCUGAAAGUGAAAAAAAAUUACCUUUGUUAUGAUUUAGGUGAUCCUGUGUUAACCACGUCUUCUGUCAAUGAGCCUUACAGGCUGCAGCUGACAGAGUCACUCCACCUGAAGGACAUUGACUGGCAUUUUGUCUCUGUAAAUCCUGAACAGAAGGGAACUUGGAACCGAAUUCGUUUUCCUUGUACCAGUUUAGAUCCCGCUGUUCAUGUGUAGCCUCGAGACGCCAUGAGACCUUGCCUGCUUCUCGUCCUACUCGUGAUCAUCCCACCUGCGAUCUCCUGCAUAGUGCCGCAGCCCAAACCACAUAUGGACUACCUUGACAAAGGUUCUCGGACAUCAACAGAGAAACUGACAACUGGCUGAAUGGACUGUUCAAAGGCUGGGGACUCUCGGGCUGGUUGGGAUCUAUUCUGAAAACUGUGUUUUUAGUGCUGUUUAUUUUAGUUAUAGUUAUUGUAGUUGUAACCAUUGUUUUUGGACUAAUCAAACGCAUGGUUCUCAAGUUAAUUUCAAGCUCAUACCCCCCUCCUGAGGUCUACCAUUUGGAAACCCUCAGUGCUCCAAUGGAUGACCUGGAAGCCUCAGUGGAAAACACUGACCCUCUUGUAGAGGAAGAACCGAUUUACCAACUAUGGUUUGGCAAGCAUUCCGCAUCACAAAACCAGUCCUCUUCUUUUUAAACGAAACUAGAGGGAGAUGUUGCAGUGUAUUGUAAUGUCCUGUUUUAAACUUCCGGGUCCCUUCCCAGGUGUGCCUAUACCUCUCUCCCUUCCCCCUUGCCCCCUUGCUGAGUGAGUCCUGUCAAUCAGGCUUAACAUUCCAGCAAGGUCUUCGUGUGGUUGGUCAAGUUCAAAAGAUGCCCUAUGCCCAGAGGUCAUUGGCCUGUCUAGGUGUCAUCCUCCCCUGAGACCAUGCCCCUCCAACCUGGUUGGUAGCUCACCUGCCCCUUCCCUCCCCCUCCCCCGGGAGCUUUAAAAGGUAAUCAGACCAUGUGCUCGGGAUUCUGUUGGAGCUGUUACUGACAUUCAGACCUCUGUGACCACGGAAUAAAGCCCUGGAUAUACCCCUCCGGCAGAA
Molecule: long non-coding RNA, 1701 nt
Organism: Melospiza melodia melodia
Lineage: Eukaryota; Metazoa; Chordata; Aves; Passeriformes; Passerellidae
Exons: 2
Source: RefSeq, a predicted model, not a curated record